GAGGAGGAAGAGGAGGAGGAGGAAGAGGAGGAAGAGGAGGAGGAGGUGACGCAGGAGGAGGAGGAGGAGAAGGAGGAGCCAUGUCCGGCCUUGGCAGCCCAGCGAUUGGUUGUCAAACAGCCGGAUUGCAGGAUGGGGUCUUUGGGGUCCUUGAGGUCUUUGGGGUCCUUGAGGUCUUUGGGACGGCCGGCACAGCUGCUGUCCCUCCCCCUCAUGGAGUCCAGCAUGUAGAAAGACCAGUAGAGUCCAGACCAGUAAGAGAUAGACCAGUAAGAGAUAGACCAGGAGAGUCCAGACCAGUAGAGUCCAGACCAGUAAGAGAUAGAACAGGAGAGUCCAGACCAGUAAGAGAUAGACCAGUAGAGUCCAGACCAGUAAGAGAUAGACCAGGAGAGUCCAGACCAGUAAGAGAUAGAUCAGUAAGAGAUAGACCAGUAAGAGAUAGACCAGGAGAGUCCAGACCAGUAAGAGAUAGACCAGUAGAGUCCAGACCAGUAAGAGAUAGACAAGUAGAGUCCAGACCAGUAGAGUCCAGACCAGUCAGAGAUAGACCAGGAGACUCCAGACCAGUAAGAGAUAGACCAGUAGAGUACAGACCAGUAUGGUGGAGGCUGUCUGUGGACUGAUGAUGUACAGAUGAACUGACGGAGUGAUUGGCUUUGGGGGCCAUCACACCACCGCCAGGAACCACAUGAGAGCCUGCCGCGCAGCCUGCUAGCUUAGAGAGCUAGGUGAGAGAGCUAGGUGAGAGAGCUAGGUGAGAGAGCUAGGUGAGAGAGCUAGGUGAGAGAGCUAGGUGAGAGAGCUAGGUGAGCGCAUCUUAAGGAGCAGGUCAAAGUUCCUCAUGUUGCUGAGGAGAACCUCAUAUAGACACAUCUUUGAGUCUCUGCAUGUAUCGGACGUGACAUUUGAAUGAAGAAACAAACCCAACUCUGUCCCCACUGAAGCAGAAGUUCGACUUGUGCCGUCAAAAAACAUUCUUGAGAAUGAUUAGCUAGUAGCUUAGUUUAGCUUGUCGCAUUAGCAAGCAGCGCCAAUAAAGGGAACCAUUUUCAGAGAACUGCUGAAUGUUCAUGUUUUUUUUUUUUUUUCUGUUUUUUAUACAUUUAUUUAAAAGCCAUUCAUUAUUUAUAAGAAACGUUUUCCAAUUAAUUUGCUGUCAGGAAGGUGUGGUAUGUGUAAAUAGGACAAUUUGACCUUUGAACUGUUUGACUAUAUGAUUGUAUAGCUGUAAUUCUAUGCAUUCAAUAUCUAGGUGUAUCCAACUCGUUUCUAUAUUCUCUUCAGAUUGUCACAGUUUUUAUGUCUUUAGGACAAGAAUAAGGAACUAAGAAAUAGGCAUUAAGGGCUGGUACCAUGACAGGAUGAAGGGCAGGUCGGUAGGGCUUUAGUCUGCGUCAACAGUGGCAUUUAUACUGUUAAUGUAGAGUUACAAGGGCUCGAUACAACAGCUCACUAGUGGACUAUUAACACCACUACUACGACCACUAGUUCACUACUACUACCUAUAGUCCACUACUACGACCACUAGUUCAGGGCCCCGUUUCCCGAAAGCAUCUUUAGCCUAAGUGGAUCGCAGAGUGGGUCGUACAAGCAUCGUACAGUUUUCACACCGUUUCCCGAAAGCAUCUUUGGUAACGAACAUCUUGAAAACGCUCGUAGCUAACGAGUGCUCCAGGGUACUCGUAGGACGCUAAGAGCCUCGUUAGCCUACUAUAGCCUCAGUGGCGUAACCAGCGGACAUUCCUAGUAUUGGAUGCGUUUUAUUAUAACACAUUGGUAAUGGUGUAUCACGUGCGUCUGAGCCUAAUGUGGGCCAUUAUGUUCUUAGUUUGAGAGAGAAAGUCCAGGAAAUGUUUGAGCAGGCAGGGCACUUAAAAUGUGUGAGAGAGAGUGGGGGGGAUUUGUGCAGACUGACAUAGGCUACUCAUAAAAUGUAGCCUAAAAUAAGGUAAAAAAUAAUAAAAUAAAAAAAUAAUAAAAAUAUCAAUUAUAAAAAAAAUAAAAAUAAUGCAAACUAGCAGGCCUAAGGCUGGGUAAAUAUGGUGGGGAUUGGUCACGUUGACGGGAAUGUUUAGUGACAUGUGGGAGGGUGUAGGGGGUUAAAAAAAAAGUCUCAAUCACUCUUCGACGUGCAUGAAAUCCAGCCGCGUAGUUAUGAGGGAGGCCGUCCUCACACCGAUCUUCCUCGUCGUCAUCGUCCUCAAUGUCCUCCGGUUCAACCAAAGCUACCCCAGCCUUAGCUGCAAUGUUGUGCAACAUAGCUGUCACACAUAUCACAGCGCAUGACUUGGCCGGCGAAAACUGGAGCCCUCCGCUGGACUUGUGAAGGCAUCUAAAGCGCAACUUCCACCUCCCGAUCGUGCGCUCAGGAUUAGGACUGAUAUAUAUGUCGGCCUAGGCUUAAUCAAUUGUGUUUUAAUAUCUUUAGCAUUCAUAUUAUUGCAAUCUAUUCUUUUCGUAGGCUACUGCCUUGAUGGGGAGAUAUUUUAACCCUUUUUAACCCCAUUUUCCUCCGACAUUCCUGCGUCUCCCCCUGCGUCAUAGACCGUUUCAGCACCAUGUCAGUGGACAGGUACAAUCCUACGAUCGUCGUGAGUGCAGCGAAUGCGCGUUCACGUUAAGAGGAGUUUUGGGAAACGCUCCAAAGAAA
Molecule: long non-coding RNA, 2653 nt
Organism: Gadus macrocephalus (Pacific cod)
Lineage: Eukaryota; Metazoa; Chordata; Actinopteri; Gadiformes; Gadidae
Exons: 2
Source: RefSeq, a predicted model, not a curated record